Molecule: ribosomal RNA, 267 nt
Filed under: uncultured bacterium
Lineage: Bacteria
Description: partial 16S ribosomal RNA
Rfam family: Bacterial small subunit ribosomal RNA
Source: RNAcentral
CCUAGUGGCGGACGGGUGAGUAACACGUAUGCAACCUGGCCGUCACAGGUGGAUAACCGGAAGAAAUUCCGACUAAUACAGCAUAACACUCCUGAGGGACAUCCCUUGGGAGUCAAAGGAGGCAACUCCGGUGACGGAUGGGCAUGCGGCGCAUUAGGUAGUUGGUAGGGUAACGGCCUACCAAGCCGACGAUGCGUAGGGGUUCUGAGAGGAAGGUCCCCCACAUUGGAACUGAGACACGGUCCAAACUCCUACGGGAGGCAGCAG